AGCCCCUUAGUCUAGUGGUUUAGGAUAUCGGACUCUGAAUCCGGUGACGGCAGUUCGAAUCUGCCAGGGGCUA
This 73-nucleotide transfer RNA is filed under the name Microcaldota archaeon. Its description in RNAcentral is "tRNA-Gln". It matches the Rfam family "tRNA". From Rfam's summary of the family: Transfer RNA (tRNA) molecules are approximately 80 nucleotides in length. Their secondary structure includes four short double-helical elements and three loops (D, anti-codon, and T loops). Lineage: Archaea; Nanobdellati; Microcaldota. The record is from RNAcentral.